GCAAUAGUAGCUCAGCGAC
This 19-nucleotide transfer RNA is filed under the name Philypnodon macrostomus. Its description in RNAcentral is "partial tRNA-Thr". The record is from RNAcentral. Lineage: Eukaryota; Metazoa; Chordata; Actinopteri; Gobiiformes; Eleotridae.